GGACUGUCGGGGACAGAUUAACAGGAUUAGAUACCCUGGUAGUCCACGCCGUAAACGAUGGAUACUAAGUGUUUGGGAAGUUAACCUCCUGAGUACUAAAGCUAACGCAUUAAGUAUCCCGCCUGGGGAGUACGGUCGCAAGGCUAAAACUCAAAGAAAUUGACGGGGGCCCGCACAAGCGGUGGAGUAUGUGGUUUAAUUCGAAGCAACGCGCAGAACCUUACCUACCUUUAACAUCCCGUGACAACUGCAGAGAUGUAGCGUUCCCUUCGGGGACACGGUGAUAGGUGCUGCAUGGCUGUCGUCAGCUCGUGUCGUAAGAUGUUCGGUUAAGUCCGGUAACGAGCGCAACCCUUGUCCUUAGUUGCCAGCAUUAAGUUGGGUACUCUGAGGAGACUGCCGGUGUUAAACCGGAGGAAGGCGGGGAUGACGUCAAGUCCUCAUGGCCCUUACAGGUAGGGCUACACACGUACUACAAUGGCAGAAACAAACCGUCGCAAAGCCGUGAGGUGGAGCCAAUCGGUAAAACACUGUCUCAGUCCGGAUUGAAGUCUGCAACUCGACUUCAUGAAGCUGGAAUCGCUAGUAAUCGCUGAUCAGCAAGCAGCGGUGAAUACGUUCCCGGGCCUUGUACACACCGCCCGUCACACCACGAAAGUGGGUAUAACCAGAAGUGCGUGAGCUAACCGCAAGGGGGCAGCGCACCAAGGUUGUAGUCGCGAUUGGGGUGAAGUCGUAACAAGGUAACCAAUCU
Molecule: ribosomal RNA, 754 nt
Filed under: uncultured bacterium
Lineage: Bacteria
Description: bacterial SSU rRNA
Rfam family: Bacterial small subunit ribosomal RNA
Source: RNAcentral